This 366-nucleotide ribosomal RNA is filed under the name uncultured eukaryote. Its description in RNAcentral is "partial 18S ribosomal RNA". It matches the Rfam family "Eukaryotic small subunit ribosomal RNA", at positions 592 to 976 of the family's 1831-position model. The record is from RNAcentral.
CAAUAGCGUAUAUUAAAGUUGUUGCAGUUAAAAAGCUCGUAGUUGAAUUUCUGGCGGGCGCGCCGGUCUUCCAAGUGUUGUACUGGGCGCAGUCCGCCAUCCUUGUGGAGAGGGCUCGCAUUGAGUUGCGUGUCGGAUCUGCAUCAUUUACUGUGAAAAAAUUAGAGUGUUUAAAGCAGGCUGUCGCUUGAAUACAUUAGCAUGGAAUAAUAAGAUAGGACUUCGGUCUAUUUUGUUGGUUGCGAACCGAGGUAAUGAUUAAUAGGGAUAGUUGGGGGUAUUCAUAUUUAAUUGUCAGAGGUGAAAUUCUUGGAUUUAUGAAAGAUGAACAACUGCGAAAGCAUUUACCAAGGAUGUNUUCAUUAA